Molecule: ribosomal RNA, 639 nt
Filed under: uncultured Streptomyces sp.
Lineage: Bacteria; Bacillati; Actinomycetota; Actinomycetes; Kitasatosporales; Streptomycetaceae
Description: bacterial SSU rRNA
Rfam family: Bacterial small subunit ribosomal RNA
Source: RNAcentral
GGAUGAGCCCGCGGCCUAUCAGCUUGUUGGUGAGGUAAUGGCUCACCAAGGCGACGACGGGUAGCCGGCCUGAGAGGGCGGCCGGCCACACUGGGACUGAGACACGGCCCAGACUCCUACGGGAGGCAGCAGUGGGGAAUAUUGCACAAUGGGCGAAAGCCUGAUGCAGCGACGCCGCGUGAGGGAUGACGGCCUUCGGGUUGUAAACCUCUUUCAGCAGGGAGGAAGCGAAAGUGACGGUACCUGCAGAAGAAGCGCCGGCUAACUACGUGCCAGCAGCCGCGGUAAUACGUAGGGCGCGAGCGUUGUCCGGAAUUAUUAGGCGUAAAAAGCUCGUAGGCGGCUUGUCACGUCGGUUGUGAAAGCCCGGGGCUUAACCCCGGGUCUGCAGUCGAUACGGGCAGGCUAGAGUUCGGUAGGGGAGAUCGGAAUUCCUGGUGUAGCGGUGAAAUGCGCAGAUAUCAGGAGGAACACCGGUGGCGAAGGCGGAUCUCUGGGCCGAUACUGACGCUGAGGAGCGAAAGCGUGGGGAGCGAACAGGAUUAGAUACCCUGGUAGUCCACGCCGUAAACGGUGGGCACUAGGUGUGGGCGACAUUCCACGUCGUCCGUGCCGCAGCUAACGCAUUAAGUGCCCCGC